RNAcentral lists this ribosomal RNA (798 nucleotides) under Trichormus doliolum GSPKAK1. Its description in RNAcentral is "bacterial SSU rRNA". It matches the Rfam family "Bacterial small subunit ribosomal RNA", at positions 60 to 902 of the family's 1533-position model. Lineage: Bacteria; Bacillati; Cyanobacteriota; Cyanophyceae; Nostocales; Nostocaceae. The record is from RNAcentral.
AGUCGAACGGUCUCUUCGGAGAUAGUGGCGGACGGGUGAGUAACGCGUGAGAAUCUAGCUUCAGGUCGGGGACAACCACUGGAAACGGUGGCUAAUACCGGAUGUGCCGAAAGGUGAAAGAUUUAUUGCCUGAAGAUGAGCUCGCGUCUGAUUAGCUAGUUGGUGUGGUAAGAGCGCACCAAGGCGACGAUCAGUAGCUGGUCUGAGAGGAUGAUCAGCCACACUGGGACUGAGACACGGCCCAGACUCCUACGGGAGGCAGCAGUGGGGAAUUUUCCGCAAUGGGCGAAAGCCUGACGGAGCAAUACCGCGUGAGGGAGGAAGGCUCUUGGGUUGUAAACCUCUUUUCUCAGGGAAUAAAAAAAUGAAGGUACCUGAGGAAUAAGCAUCGGCUAACUCCGUGCCAGCAGCCGCGGUAAUACGGAGGAUGCAAGCGUUAUCCGGAAUGAUUGGGCGUAAAGCGUCCGCAGGUGGCACUGUAAGUCUGCUGUUAAAGAGCAAGGCUCAACCUUGUAAAGGCAGUGGAAACUACAGAGCUAGAGUACGUUCGGGGCAGAGGGAAUUCCUGGUGUAGCGGUGAAAUGCGUAGAGAUCAGGAAGAACACCGGUGGCGAAGCGCUCUGCUAGGCCGUAACUGACACUGAGGGACGAAAGCUAGGGGAGCGAAUGGGAUUAGAUACCCCAGUAGUCCUAGCCGUAAACGAUGGAUACUAGGCGUGGCUUGUAUCGACCCGAGCCGUGCCGGAGCCAACGCGUUAAGUAUCCCGCCUGGGGAGUACGCACGCAAGUGUGAAACUC